GACAUAAUUGGGAACGUUGAACCACCGCCUGUAAGUGGUCACUUGGGCAGUGGGGAGUGAAUAGUGAAACCGACCUUCGCUGGU
Molecule: non-coding RNA, 84 nt
Filed under: Chloroflexota bacterium
Lineage: Bacteria; Bacillati; Chloroflexota
Description: Chloroflexi bacterium c-di-GMP-II sequence
Rfam family: Cyclic di-GMP-II riboswitch aptamer
Source: RNAcentral